GACGAACCGUGCGAACGUUAUUCGGAAUCACUGGGCUUAAAGCGCGUGUAGGCGGGCGGGUACGUCGGCGACUGAAAGCCCCCGGCUCAACCGGGGAAGGGGUGCCGAAACGGCCGGCCUGGAGGGGCGUAGGGGGACCUGGAACUUCCGGUGGAGCGGUGAAAUGCGUUGAGAUCGGAAGGAACGCCCGUGGCGAAAGCGAGGUCCUGGACGCCAUCUGACGCUGAGACGCGAAAGCCAGGGGAGCGAACGGG
This 254-nucleotide ribosomal RNA is filed under the name uncultured bacterium. Its description in RNAcentral is "partial 16S ribosomal RNA". It matches the Rfam family "Bacterial small subunit ribosomal RNA", at positions 524 to 776 of the family's 1533-position model. The record is from RNAcentral. RNAcentral also lists the same sequence under 2 other names.